AUUGAACGCUGGCGGCAUGCCUUACACAUGCAAGUCGAACGGUAACGGGCCUUCGGGUGCCGACGAGUGGCGAACGGGUGAGUAAUACAUCGGAACGUGCCCGAUCGUGGGGGAUAACGAGGCGAAAGCUUUGCUAAUACCGCAUACGAUCUACGGAUGAAAGCAGGGGACCGCAAGGCCUUGCGCGGACGGAGCGGCCGCUGGCAGAUUAGGUAGUUGGUGGGAUAAAAGCUUACCAAGCCGACGAUCUGUAGCUGGUCUGAGAGGAUGAUCAGCCACACUGGGACUGGGACACGGCCCAGACUCCUACGGGAGGCAGCAGUGGGGAAUUUUGGACAAUGGGCGCAAGCCUGAUCCAGCCAUGCCGCGUGCAGGAUGAAGGCCUUCGGGUUGUAAACUGCUUUUGUACGGAACGAAAAGCCUUCUUUUAAUACAGGAGGGUCAUGACGGUACCGUAAGAAUAAGCACCGGCUAACUACGUG
This 482-nucleotide ribosomal RNA is filed under the name uncultured bacterium. RNAcentral's name for it is "partial 16S ribosomal RNA". It matches the Rfam family "Bacterial small subunit ribosomal RNA", at positions 30 to 507 of the family's 1533-position model. The record is from RNAcentral.